RNAcentral lists this ribosomal RNA (465 nucleotides) under Vreelandella stevensii. RNAcentral describes it as "partial 16S ribosomal RNA". It matches the Rfam family "Bacterial small subunit ribosomal RNA", at positions 338 to 795 of the family's 1533-position model. The record is from RNAcentral. Lineage: Bacteria; Pseudomonadati; Pseudomonadota; Gammaproteobacteria; Oceanospirillales; Halomonadaceae.
CCUACGGGUGGCAGCAGUGGGGAAUAUUGGACAAUGGGGGGAACCCUGAUCCAGCCAUGCCGCGUGUGUGAAGAAGGCCCUCGGGUUGUAAAGCACUUUCAGUGAGGAAGAACGCCUGGUGGUUAAUACCCAUCAGGAAAGACAUCACUCACAGAAGAAGCACCGGCUAACUCCGUGCCAGCAGCCGCGGUAAUACGGAGGGUGCGAGCGUUAAUCGGAAUUACUGGGCGUAAAGCGCGCGUAGGUGGCUUGAUAAGCCGGUUGUGAAAGCCCCGGGCUCAACCUGGGAACGGCAUCCGGAACUGUCAAGCUAGAGUGCAGGAGAGGAAGGUAGAAUUCCCGGUGUAGCGGUGAAAUGCGUAGAGAUCGGGAGGAAUACCAGUGGCGAAGGCAGCUUUCUGGACUGACACUGACACUGAGGUGCGAAAGCGUGGGUAGCAAACAGGAUUAGAUACCCCUGUAGUC